This 17-nucleotide ribosomal RNA is filed under the name Micromelum falcatum. RNAcentral describes it as "partial 26S ribosomal RNA". The record is from RNAcentral. Lineage: Eukaryota; Viridiplantae; Streptophyta; Magnoliopsida; Sapindales; Rutaceae. RNAcentral also lists the same sequence under 1 other name.
UCGCGACCCCAGGUCGG